This 2735-nucleotide long non-coding RNA is filed under the name Sus scrofa (pig). RNAcentral's name for it is "lncRNA (ENSSSCG00050065708.1)". Lineage: Eukaryota; Metazoa; Chordata; Mammalia; Artiodactyla; Suidae. The record is from RNAcentral.
UUUUUAUUUUAUUUUUCUUUUCUUUUUUGCCAUUUCUUAGGCCGCUCCUGCAGCUUAUGGAGAUUCCCAGGCUAGGGGUCGAAUCAGAGCUGUAGCCACCGGCCUACGCUAGAGCCACAGCAACGUGGGAUCCGAGCCACGUCUGUGACCUACACCACAGCUCACGGCAACACCGGAUCGUUAACCCACUGAGCAAGGUCAGGGAUCGAACCCGCAACCUCAUGGUUCCUAGUUGGAUUCAUUAACCACUGAGCCAUGACGGGAACUCCUGCGCUCAGAAUUUUAAUAUUACAAAAUCAUAAUGGAUCCUGAAAAUACCUGCUUUUUACUCUGAGCUCUAUAUGAAUUAUAUCAGUGAAUCCUCUAUUUGCAUAGUCUAUAAGGUAGAUACCAUGAUUGCCUCUUUUAAAAAUAAUUGUAAUAAUGGAAUUCCCGUUGUGACUCAGUAGAGAAGAAUCUGACUUGUAACCAUAAGGUUACAGGUUCAAUCCCUGGCCUCGCUCAGUGGGCUAAGGAUCCAGCGUUGCUGUGAGCUGUGGUAUAUGUUGAAGAUGCAGCUCGGAUCUGGUGUUACUGUGGUUGUGGUGUAGGCAGGCAGCUGUAGCUCCGAUUAGACCCGGGAACCUCCAGGGAACCUGGGAACCUCCAUAGGCCGCAGUUGCGGCCCUAAGAAGCAAAUAAUAACAAUAAAUAAUGCAUAGUGUUUAAUAUGUUCCAGGCACUGUUCUAAGCACUUUUACUCACACCGACUAAUUUAAUUCUCUAAACAAACCUUUGAAGUAGGUACUAUUAUUCUUCCCAUGUUAAUAGCCUGAUAGCAACCUGAAUUGUAAGGAACACACUUAGGAAGCAGCAGAGCCUGGAAACUGGUCUAAGAUCCAUGUGACUGCAUGGCCUCCCCAAAUUCCCAGGCCAAAAUUAUAAACAUUCCAGGAUUUUCCAAAACGUAUCUGUACUGACCUCCAUCCAAAAACCAGUAUAUUUCUGACCUCGGAGUCCCGAAAGAUGCUGUGUGUUCUUCAGGGAGGAGAGAGUAAUUAGAAAUGGAAAAGUGAGUUUUUGAGUGGAUUUAAUCCCAACGAAGCAUGGAUGGGAGAAGAAAAAAAAUCAAGGGUUUUAAAAUGUUAUUGCAAAGCCUGUCUGCACCCUUACCUGUGCCACCCUCACAGUAAGUGGCUCUAUCGAUUUCCCAUUUGGUCAUUAACACCUAUUAUCUCACUCCCCCCACAGACUUGCCAAAUUGACUUUUAACUGCUCUCAGCACUGAGACAGAAGGGGGGGCAGGAUAAUGAGCUUCCACAAUGUAUAAUUAUUAUAAAUGAGCAGAGAUAAACUACACCUGUCAAAAUAAAUGAUCAGCAUCCUAAAUCGCUGGUUUCUCCAUUUACUGUUGUGUAAACUCGAGUUAUUCACCCUCGCAAAUUUCUCCCACUGCCGUUCCCAUGACUUUUUUCCCUGGUUUGAGCCCCUAGAGUUAUCUCAGAAGGGGCUUAGUCACCUCCAAAUUCUUCUGAGGAUAAGAGAAAAGCUUGAAGUAAAUCAUUCCUGCAGGCAAUGAAUUCCUAAAUAGCUGGAGUCCCCUGAAAGAAUGUCAGGCCUGGGCUGGUAUUGUGGCUCCGUUGUCGAGCAAUGUUCAGCCCUUCAAUCAUAUCCCCUUUUUGUUCUUUCCCUGAGGUUCCGCCAAAGCGACAGAAAGACAAUGGCAGCACAGCAUAGAAGUCAAGCUAAUUUUAAAUGUAACUAUUUUUCAGGAACGUUCCGCCGACAGUAUCUUGGAUGCAGAAACACUUAUUUCCAGUCUCCGAAGUUCAAAGUCCAACUAACAAAACUAUGGACUCCCUCCAUGUCUCUCAGACUACACUUGUGUAAAAUAAUUGUCUUUUUUUUUUUGUCUUUUUGCCUUUUCUAGGGCCACUCCCGCGGCACAUGGAGGUUCCCAGGCUGGGGGUCUAAUCGGAGCUAUAGCCGCUGGCCUACACCAGAGCCACAGCAACGUGGGAUCCGAGCUGCGUCUGCAACCUACACCACAGCUCACGGCAAAUGCUGGAUCCUUAACCCACUGAGCAAGGCCAGGGACUGAACCCGCACGCAACCUCAUGGUUCCUAGUCAGAUUCGUUAACCACUGCGCCAGGAUGCCUUCUCCAAAGCAACUGUCCAUUAAUGAGAAUACACGUACCUCUUUUUCUUGUGAUUUUUUUUUUUUUCUUACUACCUGGGUUUGCUGGUCGGGAUUCUCAGGUUGUGAGCAACAGAAAAAAGGACAGGAGCUUUGUUGGAAGAACAAUGAGGUCCCUCAGGAGAGAGAGAAGGGGACAGGUUACCUCCUGGGGCAUGGGAUCAGAUCAAUCUUAGCCCCCCCCCCCCUUUUUGGUCUUUUUAGGGCCACACCCACAGCAUAGGGAAGUUCCCAGGCCACGGGUCAAAUCGAAGCUGCCCGUCUACACCACAGCCAUAGCAGUGCCAGAUUUGAGCCACGUCUGUGACCUACACCACAGCUUACAGCAACACCAGAUCCUUAACCCACGGAGUGAGGCGAGGGAUUGAACCUGCGUCCUCAUGGAUCCUAGUAGGGUUCAUUACCUCUGAGCCGCAAUGGGAACUCCCUUCCCAUUCUUUUGAGAGAAGAUCUGAUUGACCUUGAGAGAGCCAUGUAUCCAACAACCAGGGGAGAAUGAGCACGAUAUUGUAAAAGCAAGCCUACAACCAGAAGAAGGGAAAAUAAGAACAAAAAGAA